Molecule: ribosomal RNA, 253 nt
Filed under: uncultured bacterium
Lineage: Bacteria
Description: partial 16S ribosomal RNA
Rfam family: Bacterial small subunit ribosomal RNA
Source: RNAcentral
GACAGAGGUGCCGAGCGUUAGGCGGAAUCACUGGGCUUAAAGCGUGUGUAGGCGGGUCGUUAAGUGCCUUGUGAAAUCCCACAGCUCACCUGUGGAACUGCUUGGCAUACUGGCGAUCUUGAGCCACUUAGGGGCAACCGGAACAAACGGUGGAGCGGUGAAAUGCGUAGAUAUCGGGAGGAACACCGGUGGCGAAGGCGGGUCUCUGGGCAUUUCCUGACGCUGAGGCGCGAAAGCGUGGGGAGCAAACGGG